Molecule: ribosomal RNA, 449 nt
Filed under: uncultured bacterium
Lineage: Bacteria
Description: partial 16S ribosomal RNA
Rfam family: Bacterial small subunit ribosomal RNA
Source: RNAcentral
AACGAACGCUGGCGGCAUGCCUAACACAUGCAAGUCGAACGAGAUCUUCGGGUCUAGUGGCGCACGGGUGCGUAACGCGUGGGAAUCUGCCCUCUGGUUCGGAAUAACAGUUGGAAACGACUGCUAAUACCGGAUGAUGACGAAAGUCCAAAGAUUUAUCGCAAGAGUAUGAGCCCGCGUAGGAUGAGCUAGUUGGUGUGGUAAAGGCGCACCAAGGCGACGAUCCUUAGCUGGUCUGAGAGGAUGAUCAGCCACACUGGGACUGAGACACGGCCCAGACUCCUACGGGAGGCAGCAGUGGGGAAUAUUGGACAAUGGGCGAAAGCCUGAUCCAGCAAUGCCGCGUGAGUGAUGAAGGCCUUAGGGUUGUAAAGCUCUUUUACCCGGGAUGAUAAUGACAGUACCGGGAGAAUAAGCUCCGGCUAACUCCGUGCCAGCCGCCGCCGUAA